RNAcentral lists this ribosomal RNA (253 nucleotides) under uncultured bacterium. RNAcentral's name for it is "partial 16S ribosomal RNA". It matches the Rfam family "Bacterial small subunit ribosomal RNA", at positions 524 to 776 of the family's 1533-position model. The record is from RNAcentral.
UACGGGGGGGGCAAGCGUUGUUCGGAAUUACUGGGCGUAAAGGGCUCGUAGGCGGCCAACUAAGUCAUACGUGAAAUCCCUCGGCUUAACCGGGGAACUGCGUCCGAUACUGGCAGGCUUGAAUUCGGGAGAGGGAUGCGGAAUUCCAGGUGUAGCGGUGAAAUGCGUAGAUAUCUGGAGGAACACCGGUGGCGAAGGCGGUUCUCUGGGCAUUACCUGACGCUGAGGAGCGAAAGUGUGGGGAGCGAACAGG